Molecule: ribosomal RNA, 271 nt
Filed under: uncultured bacterium
Lineage: Bacteria
Description: partial 16S ribosomal RNA
Rfam family: Bacterial small subunit ribosomal RNA
Source: RNAcentral
AUUGAACGCUGGCGGCAUGCCUUACACAUGCAAGUCGAACGGCUAGCGGGCCUUCGGGUGCCGGCGAGUGGCGAACGGUGAGUAAUGCAUCGGAACGUGCCAUUGAGUCGGGGAUAACGUAGCGAAAGUUACGCUAAUACCGCAUAUUCUGUGAGCAGGAAAGCAGGGGACCGCAAGGCCUUGCGCUCUUUGAGCGGCCGAUGUCAGAUUAGCUAGUUGGUGAGUAAAGGCUUACCAAGGCGACGAUCUGUAGCGGGUCUGAGAGGAUGAU